Passer domesticus (house sparrow) is the source of this 1528-nucleotide long non-coding RNA. RefSeq lists it as uncharacterized. The transcript has 3 exons. The record is from RefSeq and is a predicted model, not a curated record. Lineage: Eukaryota; Metazoa; Chordata; Aves; Passeriformes; Passeridae.
UUAUUGCAGAUCCUCUCCUCCUUCUUCUUAAAUCAAUUCCUUUCUUCUUUGCCUCAGCUGAAUGGUUAGAUGGUCUCCAGAACUCAGUCCAAGGGGCAAGUGAGGUUUGGGGGAAGAUUCUGCUAUCCCUUCUGCAAGAAAAUCCUGGUUUUCACAAUCCAUUCAAUCCUGCUACUGGAGCUGUUCCAUUAGCAUGACCUGUAUCUGCACUGGAAGCCAACUCCAAAAUCUUUCUUGAGCCAUUACUGAGACACAGCACAUCAUUCAUGAAGAAAUCUCAAACAGCCUAAGAAAUGGUGAGAACAAGCUCUCGACAAGGUACUAUUGUAGUUGACAUCUCUGCACUGGCAAGUGCUUACAAUUCCCCUUGGGUGUCUCUAAUUAUAAUGUAUUGUUCAUUAAAAAUGGCAACAAAAGUUCACUGAGCCUGCAUUCUUGUGAUUAAUUGCAAUGUUCUCCUAAUCUUUUAUUGUUAUUUAUACUUCUGCCUUCAUGCAACUGAUUAUGCUGUACAUUUACACCAUUCAGAGAGUAACAGGAGGGACACAAAGGGUGAGUUUACAUGAUGUAAUGGAGCCUUGUGGAGCUGUGUCUGAACUAGGGCUGACCCAAGCUGUGUGCUGGCACAGCCCAGAGAUGUACGUCACUAGAAAUUCUCAUCUUGGAGCUAUAAGGAAGCCAUGUCGAGCACAUAAGCUCUGCCUCAGAAGGAUUUGCUACACUCCAUGAAGAGCUGUGGAAUCACAGUUUUUCUGCUUUCAGUUAAGCUCAUGCUGUUUCCAGUUGGUGAAAUAAUUACAGGCAGCUCAGUGCAGGUGUCUCUCAGGAAUACCCUUUGAGUGUUCCUCCCUGUAUGUGAUGCCUGUAUAAACAUCAGAUACCAGAUUUCUGCUAAAUCCUUAAGGCUCCUAAACAUAUCUUUAGAAUUACCUAUCUCCACUGACUAAGCACUGAUGUACAUUAAAGGAUCUACUGAGCAAAACCCCCAUAAAAAUCUCUGCAGCUCCCAACAUCAGGAGGAACAGAAAUUUUGAGUUAUCCAUGAUAACUUGCCUGUAGCAGGAUUGUAGCUUGAUCCACCUUGAGUUUACAUUUGUCAUUAAAUGAUUUCUGAUUUUCCUUUGAUGAUUAUAGCUAAGGUAGCAAGAAAUUUUAGGUGCCUGUUAUUGGCUAUCCCAACCUGAGACAGACAUCAAUAAAUUGAAUUUUGGAGAAAUUUCAAAGCAGCUAUCUCUGAAAAUGAGUUAGUCCCUCAGGUACCCUAGAGUGGAUGGCUUGGAGAGAUGCACACUUUAUCGAGUAAAAAUCUGGCUGGAUGGCUGGGCUCAGAGAGUGUUGGUAAAUGGAGUUACAUCCAGCUGGUGGCAGGUCACUAGUGGGGUUCCCCAGGGCUCAGUCUUGACAUGCCAGCUUAAUUUUUGGGAUAUUUUUUCAGAGAAGCCCAGACUUGUGUGUUGUUAGAGGUCUUAAGUCUUCCUCUUCUAUUAGUUUUCUGGUUGCUACACACCUGCUCUGAAACUCUUCUGUU